CUGAUUCAUGCAAGUUCGUAACGAGAAAAGGAACUUCGGUUCUGAGUUAAAGUGGCGGAAGGGCGAGUAAGACGUGGGUAACCUGCCCCUGAGAUGGGGACAACUCCGGGAAACUGGAGCUAAUACCGAAUACGAUGCGAGUUUCGCAUGGAACACGCAUGAAAAGGCGGGGACCGCUUCGGCGGCCUGUCGCUCGGGGAGGGGCCCACGACCUAUCAGCUUGUUGGUAAGGUAAGAGCUUACCAAGGCGAUGACGGGUAGCCGACCUGAGAGGGUCAACGGCCGCACUGGGACUGAGACACUGCCCAGACUCCUACGGGAGGCAGCAGAGGAGAAUCAUUCACAAUGGGCGAAAGCCUGAUGGUGCAACGCCGCGUGAGGGAUGAAGGCCUUAGGGUCGUAAACCUCUGUCAGAAGUUAGGAAAGGGCCGGGCGCUAAUAUCUCCCGGCAUUGACUGGAUUUCAAAGGAAGCUCCGGCUAACUACGUGCCAGCAGCCGCGGUAAUACGUAGGGAGCAAGCGUUACUCGGAAUUACUGGGCAUAAAGGGCGUGUAGGCGGGUGUGUAAGUCUGGUGUGAAAGCCCUCGGCUCAACCGAGGAAUGCCAUCGGAUACUGCAUACCUUGAGUGUGGUA
This 635-nucleotide ribosomal RNA is filed under the name uncultured Verrucomicrobiales bacterium. RNAcentral describes it as "bacterial SSU rRNA". It matches the Rfam family "Bacterial small subunit ribosomal RNA", at positions 48 to 653 of the family's 1533-position model. Lineage: Bacteria; Pseudomonadati; Verrucomicrobiota; Verrucomicrobiia; Verrucomicrobiales. The record is from RNAcentral.